This 406-nucleotide ribosomal RNA is filed under the name uncultured bacterium. Its description in RNAcentral is "bacterial SSU rRNA". It matches the Rfam family "Bacterial small subunit ribosomal RNA", at positions 355 to 776 of the family's 1533-position model. The record is from RNAcentral.
UGAGGAAUAUUGCACAAUGGGCGAAAGCCUGAUGCAGCAACGCCGCGUGAGGGACGAAGGCCUUCGGGUUGUAAACCUCUUUUCUGAGAGACGAGACAAGGACGGUACCUCAGGAAUAAGUCUCGGCUAACUACGUGCCAGCAGCCGCGGUAAGACGUAGGAGGCGAGCGUUAUCCGGAUUUACUGGGCGUAAAGCGCACGCAGGCGGCUUCGUUAGUCGGAUGUGAAAGCUCCUGGCUUAACCGGGAGAGGCCAUUCGAUACUGCGAGGCUUGAGGUUGGAAGAGGGGUGUGGAAUUCCCGGUGUAGUGGUGGAACGCGUAGAUAUCGGGAGGAACACCUGUGGCGAAAGCGGCACCCUGGUCCACACCUGACGCUGAGGUGCGAAAGCGUGGGUAGCAAACAGG